CUGAUGCAGCCAUGCCGCGUGUGUGAAGAAGGCCUUCGGGUUGUAAAGCACUUUCAGUUGGGAGGAAAGGGGUGUAAUUAAUANCUGCAUCCUGUGACGUUUCCAACAGAACAAGCACCGGCUUACUUCGUGCCAGCAGCCGCGGUAAU
Molecule: ribosomal RNA, 149 nt
Filed under: uncultured bacterium
Lineage: Bacteria
Description: partial 16S ribosomal RNA
Rfam family: Bacterial small subunit ribosomal RNA
Source: RNAcentral